AGUGAACGCUGGCGGUAGGCCUAACACAUGCAAGUCGAACGGCAGCACAGUAAGAGCUUGCUCUUACGGGUGGCGAGUGGCGGACGGGUGAGGAAUACAUCGGAAUCUACUUUUUCGUGGGGGAUAACGUAGGGAAACUUACGCUAAUACCGCAUACGACCUACGGGUGAAAGCAGGGGAUCUUCGCACCUUGCGCGAUUGAAUGAGCCGAUGUCGGAUUAGCUAGUUGGCGGGGUAAAGGCCCACCAAGGCGACGAUCCGUAGCUGGUGUGAGAGGAUGAUCGGCCACAUUGGAACUGGGACACGGUCCAGACUCCUACGGGAGGCAGCAGUGGGGAAUAUUGGACAAUGGGCGCAAGCCUGAUCCAGCCAUACCGCGUGGGUGAAGAAGGCCUUCGGGUUGUAAAGCCCUUUUGUUGGGAAAGAAAAGCAGCAGGUUAAUACCCCGCUGUUCUGACGGUACCCAAAGAAUAAGCACCGGCUAACUUCGUG
Molecule: ribosomal RNA, 492 nt
Filed under: uncultured bacterium
Lineage: Bacteria
Description: partial 16S ribosomal RNA
Rfam family: Bacterial small subunit ribosomal RNA
Source: RNAcentral